GACGAACGCUGGCGGCGUGCCUAACACAUGCAAGUCGAACGCGUCUGUGCUUCGGCACAGGUGAGUGGCGAACGGGUGAGUAACGCGUGAGUAACUCCCCUUGGGGAGGGGGAUAACCAUCUGAAAAGGUGGCUAAUACCCCAUAUUCUCUUUUCUCAUAAGAGGAAGGAGGAAAGGUGGCGCAAGCUGCCACCCCGAGAGAGGCUCGCGUCCCAUCAGCUAGUUGGUAGGGUAAUGGCCUACCAAGGCUAUGACGGGUAGCUGGUCUGAGAGGAUGGUCAGCCACACUGGGACUGAGACACGGCCCAGACUCCUACGGGAGGCAGCAGUGAGGAAUCUUGGGCAAUGGGCGAAAGCCUGACCCAGCGACGCCGCGUGGAGGAAGAAGGCCUUCGGGUCGUAAACGUCCUGUUUGGGUAGAAGAACAAGAGAGAAGUAAUAAGCUUCUCUCUCUGACGGUAUCCCCGGACGAAAGACUCCGGCCUAAUUACGUGCCAGCAGCCGCGGUAAG
RNAcentral lists this ribosomal RNA (511 nucleotides) under uncultured bacterium. RNAcentral describes it as "bacterial SSU rRNA". It matches the Rfam family "Bacterial small subunit ribosomal RNA", at positions 28 to 524 of the family's 1533-position model. The record is from RNAcentral.